AACGAACGCUGGCGGCAUGCCUAACACAUGCAAGUCGAACGAGACCUUCGGGUCUAGUGGCGCACGGGUGCGUAACGCGUGGGAAUCUGCCCUUCGGUUGGGAAUAACUGAGAGAAAUUUCAGCUAAUACCUUAUAAUGUCUUCGGACCAAAGAUUUAUCGCCGAGGGAUGAGCCCGCGUAGGAUUAGGUAGUUGGUGGGGUAAUGGCCUACCAAGCCGACGAUCCUUAGCUGGUCUGAGAGGAUGAUCAGCCACACUGGGACUGAGACACGGCCCAGACUCCUACGGGAGGCAGCAGUGGGGAAUAUUGGACAAUGGGCGAAAGACUGAUCCAGCAAUGCCGCGUGAGUGAUGAAGGCCUUAGGGUUGUAAAGCUCUUUUACCCGGGAUGAUAAUGACAGUACCGGGAGAAUAAGCGCCGGCUAACUCCGUG
RNAcentral lists this ribosomal RNA (433 nucleotides) under uncultured bacterium. RNAcentral's name for it is "partial 16S ribosomal RNA". It matches the Rfam family "Bacterial small subunit ribosomal RNA", at positions 29 to 507 of the family's 1533-position model. The record is from RNAcentral.